UGGGGAAUAUUGGACAAUGGGCGAAAGCCUGAUCCAGCCAUGCCGCGUGUGUGAAGAAGGUCUUCGGAUUGUAAAGCACUUUAAGUUGGGAGGAAGGGCAUUAACCUAAUACGUUAGUGUUUUGACGUUACCGACAGAAUAAGCACCGGCUAACUCUGUGCCAGCAGCCGCGGCAAUACAGAGGGUGCAAGCGUUAAUCGGAAUUACUGGGCGUAAAGCGCGCGUAGGUGGUUUGUUAAGUUGGAUGUGAAAUCCCCGGGCUCAACCUGGGAACUGCAGUCAAAACUGACUGACUAGAGUAUGGUAGAGGGUGGUGGAAUUUCCUGUGUAGCGGUGAAAUGCGUAGAUAUAGGAAGGAACACCAGUGGCGAAGGCGACCACCUGGACUAAUACUGACACUGAGGUGCGAAAGCGUGGGGAGCAAACA
This 427-nucleotide ribosomal RNA is filed under the name uncultured bacterium. RNAcentral describes it as "partial 16S ribosomal RNA". It matches the Rfam family "Bacterial small subunit ribosomal RNA", at positions 355 to 774 of the family's 1533-position model. The record is from RNAcentral.